This 779-nucleotide long non-coding RNA is filed under the name Brassica rapa (field mustard). RNAcentral's name for it is "long non-coding RNA (BRAP_LNC003319)". Lineage: Eukaryota; Viridiplantae; Streptophyta; Magnoliopsida; Brassicales; Brassicaceae. The record is from RNAcentral.
AACAGGUUAGAUAUGCAAUAUUAUAACCUCUCAGGUUCACCUCCUAUUGCAAUUAUGUGACAUGCAAACAUAUUCAUGAUGUACAUAAUUAAGUGUAUCUUUGAUAGAAAAGUAUGAUUGUCUCUUUCUUUAAGUGUUUCAGAAAUGAGUUCUAAAAAACAAUUCAUAGUUUUGUUAAAUAUCUUUAUGAUAAUGAUUAUCAAAAAUUACAAUGUUAUUAAAUUUCGAAUAUUUUACAUAAGUAGGUUAAUAUUACAUUUUCAACAGAGAUAUAGGAACCACUAUAUUUUGAAAAAAAACCACAUCUUUAAAAUUUGUAUAUCUCCUCAAUCAUAUGAACCACUAUAUUUGAAAUCUAUAUUUAUCAAAAAAAAAAUUCUUUUAAAGGUUCGAUUUUGAUUUUUUUGGUUUUAUAGAUAUAGGAACCGCUAAGUUAUUUGUGAAUAUCAAUCUAUUUUUGAGUUUUUUUUUUUUUUGCUUUGGUUAUGAUUCACAGUUGGUUCUUGGUUUAUAGUUCCAUGUCUAACAAGGAUGCUAAAUUUUUUAUUUUUUCUUUAGUUAUAAUUUUCACAAUAUCACGUCAUAAAACGGGUUAUAACAUAUAAAUAUAAAUAAAGCUUUGCAGUAUAUAUUCCAAAUAUUUUCCAAACUCAAAUGGUAUUUAGGACAUAUCAGUUCAGGUAUUUAUGACUCAAAAAAUUCAAAAUAUCCAAAAAUCUGAAAAAUACUCGAAACACAAAAAUAUACUUGAAACUCCAAACAAAUAUCCGAAAUAUUUA